GAUGAACGCUGGCGGCGUGCCUAAUACAUGCAAGUCGAGCGAACAGACGAGGAGCUUGCUCCUCUGACGUUAGCGGCGGACGGGUGAGUAACACGUGGAUAACCUACCUAUAAGACUGGGAUAACUUCGGGAAACCGGAGCUAAUACCGGAUAAUAUAUUGAACCGCAUGGUUCAAUAGUGAAAGACGGUUUUGCUGUCACUUCUAGAUGGUUCCGCGCCGCAUUAGCUAGUUGGUAAGGUAACGGCUUACCAAGGCAACGAUGCGUAGCCGACCUGAGAGGGUGAUCGGCCACACUGGAACUGAGACACGGUCCAGACUCCUACGGGAGGCAGCAGUAGGGAAUCUUACGCAAUGGGCGAAAGCCUGACGGAGCAACGCCGCGUGAGUGAUGAAGGUCUUCGGAUCGUAAAACUCUGUUAUUAGGGAAGAACAAAUGUGUAAGUAACUAUGCACGUCUUGACGGUACCUAAUCAGAAAGCCACGGCUAACUACGUG
This 497-nucleotide ribosomal RNA is filed under the name uncultured bacterium. RNAcentral describes it as "partial 16S ribosomal RNA". It matches the Rfam family "Bacterial small subunit ribosomal RNA", at positions 28 to 507 of the family's 1533-position model. The record is from RNAcentral.